CUUUUGGAAGAAAAUGUUCUCUACUAAGAUUUGUGAAGCUUUAGUUCUCCAUAAUUAUUCUUAUGGAACGAUUAACAUUCACACAAAGGUUGGUGAACUUUGUAAAUUCACAAGAUGCCAUAAUCCCAUACUCAUUUGUUCAGUUAGAAUAUUAGUUUCAUUCAUGGGAAUAUUUGUGUCCACUGUCUGAAAUGUGAAUGGUUUAUGGAU
This is a long non-coding RNA of Telopea speciosissima, 210 nucleotides long. RefSeq lists it as uncharacterized. The transcript has 2 exons. The record is from RefSeq and is a predicted model, not a curated record. NCBI's taxonomy places the organism in Eukaryota, Viridiplantae, Streptophyta, Magnoliopsida, Proteales, Proteaceae.